AUACGGAGGGGGCUAGCGUUGUUCGGAUUUACUGGGCGUAAAGCGCGCGUAGGCGGCUUGCCAAGUUGGAGGUGAAAGCCCAGGGCUCAACCCUGGAACUGCCUUCAAAACUGGCUCGCUUGAGACCGGGAGAGGUGAGUGGAAUUCCCAGUGUAGAGGUGAAAUUCGUAGAUAUUGGGAAGAACACCAGUGGCGAAGGCGGCUCACUGGACCGGUACUGACGCUGAGGUGCGAAAGCGUGGGGAGCAAACAGGAUUAGAAACCCCGGUAGUCC
RNAcentral lists this ribosomal RNA (274 nucleotides) under uncultured bacterium. RNAcentral describes it as "partial 16S ribosomal RNA". It matches the Rfam family "Bacterial small subunit ribosomal RNA", at positions 523 to 796 of the family's 1533-position model. The record is from RNAcentral.